This is a non-coding RNA of Oncorhynchus mykiss (rainbow trout), 5725 nucleotides long. The record is from RefSeq and is a predicted model, not a curated record. Lineage: Eukaryota; Metazoa; Chordata; Actinopteri; Salmoniformes; Salmonidae.
UUUAAUGAAUUUAUUUGCAAAUGAUGGUGGAAAAUAAGUAUUGCCUAAAUGGUCCGCUGGAAUAACGUAUUGAGAAUGGAGUCGUAUUUAAAAUGCUGAAUCAUAGAAGAGACAGUUACCUAAAUCUAAUGAAUUCUAAAUAAUAACGGAGAGAUAAUUACGAUAGAGUUGUGCCCAUCUAAAUGUUUUUAUUCUUAUGGAUUGACUGACAUACGUUUUACAUUUUGGAGUAGAGAAAGUUGGAAAGUUUGCUUUUACUCUUACGGUAGAAUUAAAGCAGAACUCAGUUUGAGUAGGGGGUAUAUUUUUGCCAGGCAGGAAUAAGAGAGUUUGUUACAGUGUUGCCAACUCAUUUUCAGGGUAAGUUGCUGGAGGCAGGUUGAUUUGUAGCUAAAAGACGUUGUGAUAUCAUUGCGUGAUAACGUAGAAUACACAAUAACAUUACUCAAAUUGAUUUGACAGUUGUUCAGGUACAGACCACUCUUUUCUGUACUUCUGGCAGUACAAUUUUGAUUGAGAGAUGUUGAUUGAUGUAAGUUCUGUUCAAGAUCAAACAUUUGUGACCAACUGUAUUCAUUGGGUUUGGCUUGUCGAACCCGUUCUACUGCUGCUGCAGUCAGCCAACAAUGAUUUGCAAUUCGCUGAAAUUGCUGCUGCCUGGGCACGGGCUGAGCGCCUGCUGCUGACGUCGCUCACAAUGCACUUUUGCAGCCAGGCAAUGAUGUUGUGACUGAGGGUGUGACAGAGAAAAUAGUGUCAUUUAGAGGGAAAAUGCGUGCAUUAUAGCUUUGAGUCACUUUUCAAAAGUUGCUAAAAGUUCCAAAUACAUUUUUAAAAGUAGCUACAUUUGUCAUGGUAGUCUGAAAAUAUGCUAAAUCUAGCAACAAAAUUGCUAGGUGGGCAUCACUGUUUGGUGGUGCGCGCUGGGCUAUAUUUGGCUGUAUGGGAUUCAGGUCUGAAUAGUUGAAUCGUAAAAGUUUUGUGAUAGUUCCCGUUUAUUGAUUUUUGGUUUGAUUGUUUAGGUAACACCAGUGAAUUUGAACAGGAAGUUAAUGUAUUCUAAACAUUAUAAUCUGUUUACAUUACAUGGAACCAUGUCAGGUCGGCAAAGUGGAUUGCAGGUUGAGCUAAUUUUAUUUUAAAGGGACAGUGCACAUUAAUCACAGUUGUGGGUGUCUAAUGGCAGGGUAUUCCUAUCAAGCAUUUUGAGAGACGAUUUGCAGACAGACCGAAUGGGUUUUAAUGUUGCAAAGCAAGCUUUGGCUAAACUAGUCAGGUAGUAGGAAUAGAUUUCAUAGAUUUAAAGUAAAGAAUUGUAUCCGAGGGUAGCGCAUGCUCAAUUAAUUACAUAUAAACAUUGAGAACAUUUAAAACUAAUGAUUGGAGGGAGUACAAUGGAAUUAGAAUGCUGACAAAGUGGUUUUCCUGGGAAAAGGAGGCUUCGUUGUCUCUCUUUGGAAAUGUUUUCCGGGGCUAUAAUCUUGAAGGGAGCGAGUGAGAUAGAGGCAUGUUUCUACCAAAAUUGAAAAGGCCUGGAUAUGUUUUGUUUGUUUUUAGCCUUAGGGUUUGAGGAGAUUUCAAUUUGUCCUAGAGACGAAAUCUUAAAGGGGUACACGCACUGGAAGUUUUAUUUUCUGAGUUUUAAUUAAACACGUGAAUUCUUUAGGUAAAGGGAAUGUUCUGGCAACCUGGGAUACAAAAUGUAGAAAAUGGUUGAUGGUUUUUCUUUGAUUUGUAUAAUAUAGUAUGAAACACAACUAUAAAAGGGUGGUAUGACCUUUGACCUCUAUCCUGGCUUUCCUUUGUGGUCUGAUCAGCCUCAUGGGAGGGCCAUUUGGAUAAUGAAUUUAAGGUAAUUUGUGAUACUGAUUUUAAGGUAAAUUGAGUAAUUGAUAAUUAUGAACAAGUUUAUAGUUCUUUGACAUAGUUGUGAGUUGAACUAAUGAGAAGAAAGAAAUGGCAUAGCCUUGGACUAAUGGUAGACUCAUGUUAGGUAUUUAGAACCUAAUCCAGGCCAACAGGACAGGGAUAUAUGGCAUCUGUGGUGAUUCAGGAUUAUUGAGAACAUCGAGAUAACCUUAAUCAACCUAUGUAAUUACUUUAGAGAUGGCCACCAUAGACAUGGAUUUUAGAAAUAUCACCUGAGUUCAGACAGUGAGACAUUUAGUCAAUAUUUGGAAACACCCCAUAUUUGAUAGUGACUGUUAUGAGAAAGAGCAGACAGAUAGGAGGAAGGGCAGACGGAGAAGCCCUCCCUGCACUGCUGAGACCUUGAUGGUUUGGGAGCAGAGAGGAGAGGGGGGGGGCUGUUACUGAGUGGAGACAAAAGGGACCUGACACUGAACCAUUGCCUAGAAAUUAUUCGGCACAACAGGCCGAAAUAGUAGCAUUGACUAGUGCCUGUGAAAGCAGCACAGAUAAAUCUUAAAGUAGAUAAGACUCAUGACAGAGAAUUGUUACAGGAUAGACAUGAACGAACGCCCCAGGGAGAAUUGGACAUGUAGAGAAUGAAAGGGGCGGUCCUACAAGAUAAUGUCAGACAUAAGGAUAAUUUACUAAUCUUACCUAAGUCAUUGUUUAGAUAUGCGGCAAUGUAUAAUAAACUAAUAAAGCAUUUUUUAUAAAGUGUUCCCAACUUAUUUGUCGGAAACGAUUAUGGUAACUGGAAUAUUAGGUCAAGAUAUUAUCCCUAGAGUUGGUUUACUAGGAUCGAUUUCUUUAAAUAACGGAUGACAGUUUAGCUAAUCAGGUAGGACAAAUAGAAGGCCAGAGUUAGGGACCAGAACAAGUACAAAUAGAAGUUGAAGAUAUACUAGCAGACCACAUGAGAAGACUGUUUGUUAACCAAACCAUAUGUCCAAGAUUUUAUGCUCUACAGGUGAAUUACAGGAGAAGGUGAUUUACUCAACCCAGUCCCUGAGGAGAAUAGAUGGGAAGCAGCCCCGUUGGGUGGGGCCAUACCAAGUACUCCUGGUGACAGCCUUCGCAGUGAGAAUAGCUGAAAGAGCUACCGGGGUUCAUAUCACACAUUGCGAGAGGGUAAGACACACUGACACUGUCGAACAAUCACAGAGUUAGGAGAAUACCAAUAGGGUUCGGGAGUUACCUCUCCAACGAAGAUUCCCUGACCCCGCCCUAUCCUCCCUGUGUGCGAUCCUAGAAGUGAAAGUGUGGGCUGGCCUCUAACUGAGGAUAUGUUCUCCGGGAAAGGGUGGGGCUUUACAGGAGUGCUGAUUGGUCUGAGCUGUCUUAUUGUGGGCGCCAUCUUCCUAAUACACCAUGAUCCAUCCGAGAAUGCAGAAGGUGGUAACUUGACCCAUAGUGUAGAUGGUGAGGAUUUUGUAUUAACCAAGUAUAAGAGAUCACUUGAUCUGGGUAAACAGGAAGUGAGAGUGGAGAUCAGGAAGGAUGUCUCAGUUGAGUUCUAUGUAGACCAAAUAGGGUCUCUGACCCCGUGGCAGUCUAGGACUAUGAGCCAUUAUGGAAGAUAUCUGUGCAGGUCCCCGUGUAGUUCAUGGAAACAGGUCAUAGCUCACACCGAGAGAGAGGGCUAUAUAAAUCCACAUACCCAGUAUGGAAGAAGGUGGAGUAUAGUGAUGGUGAGGGUUUUUGACUGUAAUCCGGAGCAAGGGAAAUAUUGCGUAAAGGUACGAAUUACCAUUAAAAAUGUAAAGGAAGAGGAUCUCGGGUUAUGGUAUGUUGGAUUUGAUCAGGUUUCGGUUGAUACCCUAGUGCCAUUCCGGGUAGAAGAGGUUAGGGCAGGUGAUAGCUCUAUAGUCAGCCAGAAUACAAGCAGAGCCCCUGACAAAACAGAUACUGACCGUGGAGUCGUCCAGAGCCAAGGGCCGGUGUGGAUAGUUCAGACGAAAGAUCUUAAGGAAGUGAUUGAGGUGGAAACUGGUUAUGAGGAUUCUAACCUAUGGUUAUAAUGGAUUCAGUAUACAGCCAGAUCAGUAGCGAAAGAAGAAUGUUAUGCCUGCGCCACAGCAAAACCUCAGUUGACAACCAUUCCCUUUCCAUUUGAUGGAAUUGAUGCACCCAGGGUAAUGGCCUAUAUGGUAAAGCUGUUCAUGAGGGCAGGGAAGCCGGACAAUGACAGUUGCAUUGAUCUGCAUUAUCUGUAUCCCCAUGUGCCCAUUACAUCCAGACUUCCCCCUUUCACAGUUACAGGAGGACAUUAAUUAUUGUAUGGCUCGAUACAUCACACACGGAUGGGACGUAGGGGAAGUAAGAACAUGCAAUAGGACAGAGAACGUUACACCUGACAAGACAAUGAGGGACCACCCUGACUGGGUGGUUGAGUUCCGAGGACUUUAGUAAGAUAAAAAGUCCUAGAGCGGAUGUCUGGUGGGUGUGUGGAGGUAUGAAGCUGUGGCCCCACCUGCCUACAAAUUGGACCAGUGCAGUGCAGUUAGGCAUGCCCUUCACCCUUAUCAAACGCAAAGACCUUGGGCCAGGCAGAAGAGAAAGAAGGAGUGCCCCGUCAGGAUCUUUUGACAAUAGAGUUUACAUUGAUAGCAUUGGGGUUCCAAGGGGGGUACCUGAUGAGUUCUGGAUUGGAAUCAAGCAUCUUAUGGUGGUAACAGCUGCAACUAGUUUGAUGGUAUGGUAGAAUAGAAUAGCCUUGGAUAUGUUACUGGCUGAAAUGGUGGUGGGUGUAUGAGGUUCGGAGCAGAAUGUUGUACUUUCAUCCCCGAUAACACAGCUCCAGAUGGAUCAGUGACCAAAGCCCUGGCUGGUUUAACCACAUUAGCUCACGAAUUGGCAGAGAACUCUGGGGUAUAUAAUGCUCUAACAAAUUGGUUUGAUAGUGGGUUUGGGAAAUGGAAAAAUGUCAUAAUCACUGUGUGGUGGGCAACUUUCACCUGUAUGAGUGUUUUGGUUCUGUGUGGAGGUUGUUUGAUUCCGUGUAUGAGAGGUUUGGUUACCAGGACUCUGGAGAGGUCAAUGACGCAACAGAUUGUGAGGUACGGACCGAUUCCGAGCUCCGGCCAGUGGGAUGACAAAUACAGGCCUCCAGGCCUAGGAGAUGGCUCCGUUUCUUUUAACUACGAGGAGCCAAUGGAGCCAACAGGAAGUGUUAGGAUACCUAAUACAAGGAACUGUGGCAGACAACGUAUGCCCACUGUGAAUCUGAUAACAGGGAAGGAGGUCUCCCCACCCAGAGAGGGAAGAAACCGUUGGGCUUAAUAAGCAAUGUAUUGGUCUGGAUUAUUCUUGUAUACAAUUGAUGUAUCAGUGUGUAUUAUUUAGACAUUAAGGGAGGAUUGUUAAUGGGAUUUAUCUGUUAAUUGAAUGAUUAGAAUAUUCCACCCUGAAACCAUAGAAUUGUAUGGAAUUGAUAUGAAUGUAUACAAUUAUAAUCAAUACAUGUGUAGUUCUAGUCAGAAUUAGGGUAAAACAAUAUAGCUAAUGUUUAUGUCUUCAUGGUAUUUUAAAGACAGACUGUCUGAGCAAAAUUCGGCGCCGACCUGACUAGAGAUUUGGGAGAGAACGGGGAGUACGUCUCAAGGUCUCCCUAAUCUCUGAUGGCUGGGUAGUGAGACAGUAUGUGCGUAGGAUACCUUCUGUUAGUGUGAAGGUGUGUGCGUAGCAGGAUAAUGUUAGUGUGAAUGUGUGUGUGUAUGGUUGUGUGAGUGUGUGUGCGUGAGAAGUCAGUAUAAAAUUAAUUGUUUUGUAUUCUUGACUUUAGAACAUUCCCGUGAAUAAACAUUUGACAAUUGUA